RNAcentral lists this ribosomal RNA (487 nucleotides) under Figularia figularis. RNAcentral describes it as "partial 16S ribosomal RNA". It matches the Rfam family "Bacterial large subunit ribosomal RNA", at positions 1835 to 2591 of the family's 2925-position model. The record is from RNAcentral. Lineage: Eukaryota; Metazoa; Bryozoa; Gymnolaemata; Cheilostomatida; Cribrilinidae.
UUUAGUAAUUAUUUAAAGUGUUGUCUGCCCGGUGACUAAUUAGUUUAACGGCCGCUUAUGUGCUAAGGUAGCAUAAUCAUUUGUCUUUUUAUUGGAGACUAGUAUGAAUGGAAUAACGAGGCUUAACUGUUUCUAUUUAUGAAUUAAAAAUUGAUUUAGAAAUGAAAAAUUUUUUAUUAUUAUAUAGGACGAAAAGACCCUAUAGAAUUUUAAUAUAAUGUUAUAUGAUAUUAAUUUUUAUAGUAGUUUUAUUAUAUAAUUUGUAUUUUUAUUGGGGUAAUAUAAGAAUAAUAAAGUUCUUAUUUUUGAAUUUUAUUAUGGUAAGUUUUGGUAUAUCCUUAAAAAGAAUUAAUAAAAAUUACCUUAGGGAUAACAGCGUAAUUUUACCAGAGAGGGCUAAUCGAAGGUAAAGUUUGCGACCUCGAUGUUGGACUAAGAUUACUUUAAGGUGUAGAGGCUUUAAGUUGUAAGCCUGUUCGGCUUUUAA